GAAGCUGACCAGACAGUCGCCGCUUCGUCGUCGUCCUUUCGGGGAGACGGGCGGAGGGGAGGAAAGUCCGGGCUCCAUAGGGCAGGGUGCCAGGUAACGCCUGGGGGGGGAAACCCACGACCAGUGCAACAGAGAGCAAACCGCCGAUGGCCCACGUAAGUGGGAUCAGGUAAGGGUGAAAGGGUGCGGUAAGAGCGCACCGCGCGGCUGGUAACAGUCCGUGGCACGGUAAACUCCACCCGGAGCAAGGCCAAAUAGGGGUUCAUAAGGUACGGCCCGUACUGAACCCGGGUAGGCUGCUUGAGCCAGUGAGCGAUUGCUGGCCUAGAUGAAUGACUGUCCACGACAGAACCCGGCUUAUCGGUCAGUUUCACUU
This 376-nucleotide RNase P RNA is filed under the name Salmonella enterica subsp. enterica serovar Rubislaw. RNAcentral's name for it is "RNase P RNA component class A". It matches the Rfam family "Bacterial RNase P class A". From Rfam's summary of the family: Ribonuclease P (RNase P) is a ubiquitous endoribonuclease, found in archaea, bacteria and eukarya as well as chloroplasts and mitochondria. RNAcentral also lists the same sequence under 4 other names. The record is from RNAcentral. Lineage: Bacteria; Pseudomonadati; Pseudomonadota; Gammaproteobacteria; Enterobacterales; Enterobacteriaceae.